Molecule: ribosomal RNA, 629 nt
Filed under: Candidatus Caldipriscus sp. T1.2
Lineage: Bacteria; Candidatus Caldipriscota
Description: bacterial SSU rRNA
Rfam family: Bacterial small subunit ribosomal RNA
Source: RNAcentral
AUAGACGGGAGCCCGCACAAGCGGCGGAGCGCGUGGUUUAAUUCGAUGCUGACCGAAGAACCUCACCUGGGCUUGACAUCCCGCCGUCAAGCCUACCCGAAAGGGUAGGUGAGCCUACCGAUGAGGUAGGCAGGCGGGACAGGAGCUGCACGGCUGUCGUCAGCUCGUGUCGUGAGAUGUUGGGUUAAGUCCCGCAACGAGCGCAACCCCUGCCCAUAGUUGCCAGCGGGUCGCCCACGGAUGUGGGCGAUGCUGGGGACUCUAUGGGGACUGCCGGCGAGGAGCCGGAGGAAGGAGGGGACGACGUCAAGUCCGUGUGGCCCUUAUGUCCGGGGCUACACACGCGCUACAAUGGGCGGUACAGAGGGAAGCGACCCCGCGAGGGGGAGCAAAUCCCUAAAACCGCCCCCAGUUCGGAUUGCAGGCUGAAACCCGCCUGCAUGAAGGAGGAGUCGCUAGUAAUCACCUAUCAGCUAUGGGGUGGUGAAUACGUUCCCGGGCUCUGUACUCACCGCCCGUCACGCCAUGGGAGCCGGGGGUGCCUGAAGCCCCACCGAGGGUGGGGUGAAGGCAAACUCGGUGACUGGGGCGAAGUCGUAACAAGGUAGCCGUACGGGAACGUGCGGCUG